CCUACGGGGAGCAGCAGUAGGGCAUCUUCCACAAUGGGCGAAAGCCUGAUGGAGCAACGCCGCGUGGGUGAAGAAGGUCUUCGGAACGUAAAACCCUGUUGUUAGAGAAGAAAGUGCGUGAGAGUAACUGUUCACGUUUCGACGGUAUCUACCCAGAAAGCCACGGCUAACUACGUGCCAGCAGCCGCGGUACUACGUAGGUGGCAAGCGUUAUCAGGAUGUAUUGGGCGUAAAGGGAACGCAGGAGGUCUUUGAAGUCUGAUGUGAAAGCCUUCGGCAUAACCGGAGUAGUGCAUGGGAAACGGGGGGAAUUGAGUGCAGAAGAGGAGAGUGGAACUCCAAGGGUAGCGGUGAAAUGCGUAGAUAUAUGGAAGAACACCAGUGGCGAAGGCGGCUCUCUGGUCUGUAACUGACGCUGAGGUUCGAAAGCGUGGGUAGCAACCAGGAUUAGAUACCCUGGUAGUC
RNAcentral lists this ribosomal RNA (465 nucleotides) under uncultured bacterium. Its description in RNAcentral is "partial 16S ribosomal RNA". It matches the Rfam family "Bacterial small subunit ribosomal RNA", at positions 338 to 795 of the family's 1533-position model. The record is from RNAcentral.